AGAUUCCGUGCAACUAAGGAGAAUUCAGGCAGUUGAUUCACGGUGAGGUACAGGUUCAGCGAUUAUCUAUAAAACACUGCUUAUCUAUAAAAUAGCUUUUUAGGACUCUGGAAGCAUUGUGACUUUUUUCAGUGUCAGUCUCUGAUAUUAUUACUAUGCUGUUUAACCCGGACGUUCUUUUGAAUUGCGAGAUCAUUCAUUUAUCAGAGAUGUAAAAGUAGUGCCUGUGCCAUGAUUGGCACCGCCUGGUGGUCAGGUCUCUUCUUCGGAACUGGAGGGUCUCAGGCUCAAGAACCGAUUCCACCAAAGAACCAUUCUAUAAGCGGGUCUGGAGCACCUUAAAUCCGUCGGUGCCAAACGUCCUCCCGCUGGUGUGGUGUGGAAGUUUGGAGAGGGGGUGCCACCUCAGGUGUCGUCCUCGUCAUCUCACUGCAGUUCAAAAGUAC
Long non-coding RNA from Argiope bruennichi, 446 nucleotides. RefSeq lists it as uncharacterized. The transcript has 4 exons. The record is from RefSeq and is a predicted model, not a curated record. NCBI's taxonomy places the organism in Eukaryota, Metazoa, Arthropoda, Arachnida, Araneae, Araneidae.